UUGGAGGGCAAGUCUGGUGCCAGCAGCCGCGGUAAUUCCAGCUCCAAUAGCGUAUAUUAAAGUUGUUGCAGUUAAAAAGCUCGUAGUUGAAUUUCGGGGUCAGUAGGUUGGUCAUGCCACUGGUAUGUACUGGUCUCACUGAUUCCUCCUUCCUGAUGAGCCGUAAUGCCAUUAAUUUGGUGUUGCGAGGAAUCUGGACUGUUACUUUGAAAAAAUUAGAGUGUUUAAAGCAGGCUAACGCUUGAAUACAUUAGCAUGGAAUAAUGAAAUAGGACGUUCGAUCUUAUUUUGUUGGUUUCUAAGACUGACGUAAUGAUUAAUAGGGAUAGUUGGGGGCAUUAGUAUUCAAUUGUCAGAGGUGAAAUUCUUGGAUUUAUUGAAGACUAACUACUGCGAAAGCAUUUGCCAAGGAUGUUUUCAUUAAUCAAGAACGAAAGUUAGGGGAUCGAAGACGAUCAGAUACCGUCGUAGUCUUAACCAUAAACUAUGCCGACUAGGGAUCGGAUGAUGUUAAUUUUUUAAUGACUCAUUCGGCGCCUUACGGGAAACCAAAGUGUUUGGGUUC
RNAcentral lists this ribosomal RNA (565 nucleotides) under uncultured Glomeromycotina. Its description in RNAcentral is "SSU rRNA". It matches the Rfam family "Eukaryotic small subunit ribosomal RNA", at positions 548 to 1114 of the family's 1831-position model. Lineage: Eukaryota; Fungi; Glomeromycota. The record is from RNAcentral.